UGGGGAAUAUUGCACAAUGGGCGCAAGCCUGAUGCAGCCAUGCCGCGUGUGUGAAGAAGGCCUUCGGGUUGUAAAGCACUUUCAGCGAGGAGGAAGGGUAGUGUGUUAAUAGCACAUUGCAUUGACGUUACUCGCAGAAGAAGCACCGGCUAACUCCGUGCCAGCAGCCGCGGUAAUACGGAGGGUGCAAGCGUUAAUCGGAAUUACUGGGCGUAAAGCGCACGCAGGCGGUUUGUUAAGUCAGAUGUGAAAUCCCCGCGCUUAACGUGGGAACUGCAUUUGAAACUGGCAAGCUAGAGUCUUGUAGAGGGGGGUAGAAUUCCAGGUGUAGAGGUGAAAUGAGUAGAGAUCUGGAGGAAUACCGGUGGCGAAGGAGGAAAAAUGGAAAAAGACUGACGCUCAGGUGCGAAAGCGUGGGGAGCAAACA
This 427-nucleotide ribosomal RNA is filed under the name uncultured bacterium. RNAcentral's name for it is "partial 16S ribosomal RNA". It matches the Rfam family "Bacterial small subunit ribosomal RNA", at positions 355 to 774 of the family's 1533-position model. The record is from RNAcentral.